RNAcentral lists this unclassified non-coding RNA (400 nucleotides) under uncultured Verticillium. RNAcentral's name for it is "sequence contains ITS1". The stretch from base 1 to 105 matches the Rfam family "5.8S ribosomal RNA", at positions 50 to 154 of the family's 154-position model. The record is from RNAcentral. Lineage: Eukaryota; Fungi; Ascomycota; Sordariomycetes; Hypocreales.
GAAAUGCGAUAAGUAAUGUGAAUUGCAGAAUUCAGUGAAUCAUCGAAUCUUUGAACGCACAUUGCGCCCGCCAGCAUUCUGGCGGGCAUGCCUGUUCGAGCGUCAUUUCAACCCUCGAGCCCGACUCUUUUGAGGACGGCUCGGCGUUGGGGGACGGCAGACUCCCCCCGGCAUCUCGCCGGGGACGCCGCCCCCGAAAUCUAGUGGCGGCCCUCCGAGGCGACCUCUGCGUAGUAACUUGUUCUCGCACCGGAAAGCUCAGAGCGGCCACGCCGUAAAACCCCAACUUUUUUAGGCCUCACACUUUUUCUCUCGGCCUUUUACGAGAGGAGGAGGAACCUAGAGUAUUUUGACGAGGCCCUUUCCUUCACCGGAGGAACCUCUGACUUCUUAGAUCUCA